CGCUUCUCAUUUACGUUGAUUUUCACUUCUCAUUCCUCAAAUCUUUCUCAGCUUUUUAAGCCGAUUUCAAUUUCAAUUUAUUGAGGUAUUUGAUUCUAUCACUAAUGCUACUUUCUCGUUAUUGUGUGACAUUAAUCGUGGUACUUUUCAAUUCGUUUCUCUGGUUCACUUGAUUUUGUGUUUGUUUAGAGUCAUAGAUUUGAGUUGAUGCUAAUUUUAACUUUGCUUAGGGUUUUGAAUGUCCAAUUUGUUGUUGUGUAUGUUUAGGAAAUGACGUUUCUGACUUGAUCUCACAUACUACGUGUGAUAUUGCUGGUCAUAGUCACCAACUUAAAGGUUGUUAGUCUUGGUAGUUAGUUUUUGUUUAGGUGUAUUUGGAUUUCUCUCUAUUGUUUAAAACUUGCUUUUGGGAGAACUUGCUUUUGCAAAUAACUCAAUUAGUUGAGCUGCAACACUAUGAGAAGUUGAGUUUGAGAAAGAAGUUCAAACCUGAAACUCUAAUUAUUACCACAAUAUAUUAACAAUUGACAUUGAAAAGGGUAAUAUAUCUCCAGAUUCCUUCAACUAAACCAUAGAAAAUAGCAAAGCGCUUUUGUUCGAUAUCUGUCAUUAUGCAAAUUAUGCGAUGGCGGAACUUUUUGUACAUGAAGAAUCACAUUAUUCCCUCUGUUUCACAUUUCUUCGAUGGCGGAACUUUUUGUACAUGAAGAAUCACAUUAUUCCCUCUGUUUCACAUUUCUUGCUUUUCAUUCCACUCCUUGUUCCUGUCAUAAAUGGAACAGUAACCCUGUGAGUUUUCAAUUUCUUAUUUCAUUCGCAUUGUUUGUUGAGUAAUGAGGGAAAUAGGGUAGAAUUUCAUUCUGUAAUAGUAUAUUGAUUAGUUAGAAACAGUUACAAAAUAGGAGAAGUUUUACAUACAUACUUAAAGUUACAAACUCUGCUGGCAUAAUUCUAUUUUAUUUUAGUGAAUUUAGAACUUUUUUGUUUUGUGAAUUUGUUAUGAUUAUCUGCAACUUUGACUGAAAAGGUUGGAAAUUAAUGCAAUAUUUUUUUGGGGUCCUUGCAGGAUAUAGGAGGACAUAAACCAUCUAAGGUAUGUCUUGUAACAUUUAAUUUUAGAAAUCACACAAAUUAUGAUAUAUAGCAUUGUUUGUCAGAUUAUGAUACUUCUAGGUUGUAUUAGGAAUAACUUUUUAGUAAAAAUGGCAGAAGGUUAAACACAGCAUAAUGGCAUACCAGAAAGUACUCCAAUUAAUAAAUACUCAACCCAUUCAUUUUUGGGAAUAUUAGGAAUGUCCAGCAUGAUUUCCCAUCAUUUGAAUUUGAAAAAAUAGCUGAAAAUUUUCAUGUUGACCUAAAUAAAUCAUUAAAUUCCCUGUUCUGUCAAUUGAGCUAUGUUGCAAUGCUACAAAGUAUUCCAAUAACAAUUUAUCACAUAAAAUUGUGCACAAACAUAUUUCCCACUCGUCUACAUGGUAGAGAAAAUGCAAACAGAAAGCAAACAUAUGCUCUACACCAUGCAGACACAUGAUAUGCUUGUUACUGGUAUGAGCUGAAAAAGCCAGCUGUUGGACAAAAUCAAAUAAAUAAACCUGGCCACGUCUUGUGGAAAGGACAAACUGAUGCUUCCAAACUUCAGAUGAAAAGCCUUAUGAAUCACAAUUGAAUUCCUUACAUUGUCUGACAGGUUUUAUACAUAAAUAUGUGUGCAGCCAAUUGAAGAUGUCCCUCUUAUAUUGUCAUUCUCAUCUUAUUUUCCAAGCCAAAUCUAAGUUACUGACAAGCACUGUGCAUUGUGAUUAGCAGGAUAACAUAGAGACCAGUUACAGCUAAAUGCCAAACAAAUUCUCUAGUUAUAGACUUUUUUAAUGUCUA
Molecule: long non-coding RNA, 1875 nt
Filed under: Cicer arietinum (chickpea)
Lineage: Eukaryota; Viridiplantae; Streptophyta; Magnoliopsida; Fabales; Fabaceae
Description: long non-coding RNA (CARI_LNC001307)
Source: RNAcentral